AGCCUUGUAGUGAUGAUCACAUCGAAUUGCAAAUUCGGAGACGUAGACUAAUACUUUGCCUGGGCUU
RNAcentral lists this transfer RNA (67 nucleotides) under Balantiocheilos melanopterus (tricolor sharkminnow). RNAcentral's name for it is "tRNA-Cys". It matches the Rfam family "tRNA". From Rfam's summary of the family: Transfer RNA (tRNA) molecules are approximately 80 nucleotides in length. Lineage: Eukaryota; Metazoa; Chordata; Actinopteri; Cypriniformes; Cyprinidae. The record is from RNAcentral.